AUGGAGAGACUGCGGAGGGACCAGGAUCGGCUGUCGGCACAGGAAACACACCAUCUGGAUGGGGAACUGAGGGUGCAGGAACUGUGGGAGCAAUUAAUGCAGAGACAAGCAGAGCUGGAUGCUGUGCUUUCGUCUCUCCUCUGUGCUCGUCAGGUCUGCCAGCUGCGUGCUGACACUGCACAGUCUACUGAAUGGAUUCGUUUCCUCUAGUCUUUGGUUUCUGGCACAUUCUGGUAUAAGGAUUUUGGUGUGCUGCAGCCCAAGGGUGUCAGAAACCCUCUGAAAGUAAUAGCCAUGACUCAGCAGAAAAUCCUUCCUCGACUUGAACGACUUAUUCAGCUGUUGGAGGAAACCAAAGCACUUGGCCAGUCGACCAGCACGCAGCGGCAGAAGAGCUCUGGUACAAUAUCUUCAUUUAUGUCUUAUUAUAGAAACGUUAGUCAUGCUUUUGUCGAAAUGUUCAUGAAAAUGGU
RNAcentral lists this long non-coding RNA (473 nucleotides) under Sinocyclocheilus anshuiensis. RNAcentral describes it as "lncRNA (ENSSANG00000038323.1)". Lineage: Eukaryota; Metazoa; Chordata; Actinopteri; Cypriniformes; Cyprinidae. The record is from RNAcentral.